RNAcentral lists this ribosomal RNA (499 nucleotides) under uncultured crenarchaeote. RNAcentral's name for it is "bacterial SSU rRNA". It matches the Rfam family "Archaeal small subunit ribosomal RNA", at positions 381 to 880 of the family's 1478-position model. The record is from RNAcentral. Lineage: Archaea; Thermoproteati; Thermoproteota.
CUGAGUGGAUUUCCGUUAAGGAGUACUUUUGGCACCUCUAAAAAUGGUGCAGAAUAAGGGGUGGGCAAGUCUGGUGUCAGCCGCCGCGGUAAUACCAGCACCCCGAGUGGUCGGGACGUUUAUUGGGCCUAAAGCAUCCGUAGCCGGUUCUACAAGUCUUCCGUUAAAUCCACCUGCUUAACAGAUGGGCUGCGGAAGAUACUAUAGAGCUAGGAGGCGGGAGAGGCAAGCGGUACUCGAUGGGUAGGGGUAAAAUCCGUUGAUCCAUUGAAGACCACCAGUGGCGAAGGCGGCUUGCCAGAACGCGCUCGACGGUGAGGGAUGAAAGCUGGGGGAGCAAACCGGAUUAGAUACCCGGGUAGUCCCAGCUGUAAACGAUGCAGACUCGGUGAUGAGUUGGCUUAUUGCUAACUCAGUGCCGCAGGGAAGCCGUUAAGUUUGCCGCCUGGGGAGUACGGUCGCAAGACUGAAACUUAAAGGAAUUGGCGGGGGGAGCACA